AGCCGUCUGAGGCCCGUCGGAAUCAGUCGAAUCGACGCGUGAAAGCGAGUCCGACGCGAAUAAGGAACGAAAGUCCCAUCGGCUCGUAGAAUCCUAGUAGCGCUCGUUUGAUGCAUUUCCGACGGGUAAGCGCCGUGACCGAUGCGAAUUCGCGGCUAGCGAAGCCGUCGGAUUGAGGUCGAGCUCGUUCGCGUGUCUCGUAACCAGUCCGUCGGUGGGAAUAGAAAUCGUUAGACCGUAGCAUCGAGAAUUAUAAUUCGAGCGUCGGCGAAUCUUACGCGCUCGCCUAAUACGAUGGACGUGCGUUCGAUCGAUCGUCACCUGCUCGCAGGUGUCGGUUCGUAUCCCGGGCGUAUCCGAAAUCGUAGGCGACGUUAUACGACGUUCGGGUGUCCACGGCGUCCGAGUCGGUCGCCCGUCCGACCCGUCUUGAAACACGGACCAAGGAGUCUAACGUAAGCGCGAGCUAAUGGGCGGAAAACCCAUAAGCGUAAUAAAAGUAAUAGUCGUCUCCGACGGCUUAUGUACGAUCCCGCAGGGCGAAUAAUCCUCGGGCGCA
This 559-nucleotide ribosomal RNA is filed under the name Xiphinema hyrcaniense. RNAcentral's name for it is "partial large subunit ribosomal RNA". The record is from RNAcentral. Lineage: Eukaryota; Metazoa; Nematoda; Enoplea; Dorylaimida; Longidoridae.